AGUCGUAACAAGGUUUCCGUAGGUGAACCUGCGGAAGGAUCAUUAGUGAUUGCCUUUAUAGGCUUAUAACUAUAUCCACUUACACCUGUGAACUGUUCUACUACUUGACGCAAGUCGAGUAUUUUUACAAACAAUGUGUAAUGAACGUCGUUUUAUUAUAACAAAAUAAAACUUUCAACAACGGAUCUCUUGGCUCUCGCAUCGAUGAAGAACGCAGCGAAUUGCGAUAAGUAAUGUGAAUUGCAGAAUUCAGUGAAUCAUCGAAUCUUUGAACGCAGCUUGCGCUCUCUGGUAUUCCGGAGAGCAUGCCUGUUUCAGUGUCAUGAAAUCUCAACCACUAGGGUUUCCUAAUGGAUUGGAUUUGGGCGUCUGCGAUUUCUGAUCGCUCGCCUUAAAAGAGUUAGCAAGUUUGACAUUAAUGUCUGGUGUAAUAAGUUUCACUGGGUCCAUUGUGUUGAAGCGUGCUUCUAAUCGUCCGCAAGGACAAUUACUUUGACUCUGGCCUGAAAUCAGGUAGGACUACCCGCUGAACUUAAGCAUAUCAAUAAGCGGAGGA
This 556-nucleotide unclassified non-coding RNA is filed under the name Trichosporon asahii. RNAcentral's name for it is "sequence contains 18S rRNA gene, ITS1, 5.8S rRNA gene, ITS2, 28S rRNA gene". The stretch from base 170 to 323 matches the Rfam family "5.8S ribosomal RNA". Lineage: Eukaryota; Fungi; Basidiomycota; Tremellomycetes; Trichosporonales; Trichosporonaceae. The record is from RNAcentral.